RNAcentral lists this ribosomal RNA (253 nucleotides) under uncultured bacterium. RNAcentral's name for it is "partial 16S ribosomal RNA". It matches the Rfam family "Bacterial small subunit ribosomal RNA", at positions 524 to 776 of the family's 1533-position model. The record is from RNAcentral.
UACGGAGGGUGCAAGCGUUGUCCGGAUUUAUUGGGUUUAAAGGGUGCGUAGGCGGCCUGAUAAGUCAGCGGUGAAAUACCCAGGCUCAACCUGGGGGGUGCCGUUGAUACUGUUAGGCUUGAGUACGUUCCGUGUACAUGGAAUUUAUGGUGUAGCGGUGAAAUGCAUAGAUACCAUAAGGAACACCGAUAGCGAAGGCAUUGUACAGGGGCGUAACUGACGCUGAUGCACGAAAGCGUGGGUAGCGAACAGG